AUGUCUCGGAAAAUUGAGGAAAUCAAGGACUUUCUGCUCACAGCCUGACGAAAGGAUGCCAAAUCUGUCAAGAUCAAGAAAAAUAAGGACAACGUUAAGUUUAAAGUUCGAUGUAGCCCAUACCUUUACACCCUGGUCAUCACUGACAAAGAGAAGGCAGAGAAACUGAAGCAGUCCCUGCCCCCUUGUUUGGCAGUGAAGGAACUGAAAUGAACCAGACACACUGAUUGGAACUGUAUUAAAAUACUAAAAAUCCAAAAAAAAA
RNA transcript from Nomascus leucogenys (northern white-cheeked gibbon), 265 nucleotides. It is a transcript of the gene named 60S ribosomal protein L38 pseudogene, with no coding region annotated. NCBI's taxonomy places the organism in Eukaryota, Metazoa, Chordata, Mammalia, Primates, Hylobatidae. The transcript has a single exon. The record is from RefSeq and is a predicted model, not a curated record.